Molecule: ribosomal RNA, 253 nt
Filed under: uncultured bacterium
Lineage: Bacteria
Description: partial 16S ribosomal RNA
Rfam family: Bacterial small subunit ribosomal RNA
Source: RNAcentral
GACAGAGGGUGCAAACGUUGCUCGGAAUUACUGGGCGUAAAGCGCGUGUAGGCGGGCUGAUAAGUCGGACGUGAAAUCCCUGGGCUCAACCCAGGAACUGCAUCCGAAACUGUCAGUCUGGAGUGGUGGAGAGGGAAGCAGAAUUCCUGGUGUAGAGGUGAAAUUCGUAGAUAUCAGGAGGAACACCGGUGGCGAAGGCGGCUUCCUGGACACUAACUGACGCUGAGACGCGAAAGCGUGGGGAGCAAACAGG